RNAcentral lists this ribosomal RNA (431 nucleotides) under uncultured bacterium. RNAcentral's name for it is "partial 16S ribosomal RNA". It matches the Rfam family "Bacterial small subunit ribosomal RNA", at positions 29 to 507 of the family's 1533-position model. The record is from RNAcentral.
AACGAACGCUGGCGGCAGGCUUAACACAUGCAAGUCGAGCGCCCCGCAAGGGGGGCGGCAGACGGGUGAUUAACGCGUGGGAACUUACCUUUUGGUUCGGAACAACUCCGGGAAACUGGAGCUAAUACCGGAUAAGCCCUAACGGGGAAAGAUUUAUCGCCGAAAGCUCGGCCCGCGUCUGAUUAGCUAGUUUGUGAGGUAACGGCUCACCAAGGCGACGAUCAGUAGCUGGUCUGAGAGGAUGAUCAGCCACACUGGGACUGAGACACGGCCCAGACUCCUACGGGAGGCAGCAGUGGGGAAUAUUGGAAAAUGGGCGCAAGCAUGAUCCAGCCAUGACGCGUGAGUGAUGAAGGCAUUAGGGUUGUAAAGCUCUUUUGUCCGGGAAGAUAAUGACUGUACCGGAAGAAUAAGCCCCGGCUAACUUCGUG